UCUUCUUCACCUCCUCAUCUUCAGCCUUGUACCUCUCUGCCUCCUGCACCAUUCUCUCAACCUCUUCCUUGCUCAAUCUUCCCUUGUCGUUGGUAUCGUUGGAAAUUAUAUAUUAUAGUAUAAACUAUUGUAAUAUAUAAUUUUAAUAAUUGAAUGAAAAAUAGUGUUAACCAAUUUCUUAGAAAGGUUAUGUUGUUUAGAUGUAUUCCCUUGUUAAGUGAUGUAUACUUAUAGAUGAAAAGUUACAUCUCUUUAUUAGUUGAAGUUGGGUUCUAUAUAAACUCAUGAAACCAUUAUCAUUAAGAUACAGAAAAAUUAGAGUUAAUUUUUACUCUUGAGAAAAUAGGGUUUCCCCACUUUGUUUGUCUCAUGCUUCGUGUGUCAAAUUCCGAGUCGUGUCUUGAGAGUACGAAAUAUAAAGUUCGCCAGAGUCCGAAGAUUGAAGUGCUUUGACUUCGGAUUAUAGAUUGUUGAAUUCUGGAAGAUGGACGCCUAUCGAACUACAAGCACAAGAGUAGGGGCGAAAUUCUGUCUUUAGGACAUUGCAUUUAUGCAAGCCUCAAUUUCCAAGUUUGUCAGUUUUUCUAUCUUUAUCUCUAGUUGUUUAUAUUAAUCUCAUAUAUAAUUGAUGUUGUGAAUUUCUUUAUGAUUAUUAUCAUUGGAAUUAUAUUGUUAUUUUUCAUAUUUUCUAAUAUUGCUCCAACAAUCUAAAGAUAGAAAUUUAUAUCUCUUUGCAAUAAUUAGAAAAAUAUGAAAAAUUCUCAUAAAGCAGUGGCUAGAUAUUGGAAAUAGAAUAUGUUGUGUUUGACGCAAACCCUAGCCCUCUUUGAGAAGGAAGAUCGCUACAUCUAAUGAUGAAAUUGAGGCAUGAAUCCAAUUUCAAUAGAAAGAUUUAAUUUGAUCAUUGGGCUAGAUGAUGGGUUGUAGAUUGUAUAUAUAGUAUACAAAACAACAAAAGAUCGUUCUGGGAAUUAUUGAUGAUAAAUGUCAUACUGCAAUACUUGAAUUAGAAUAAGUCUUGUGAAUUUGGUAGUUACAAUUGCAUACAUUUUUUCUUAAUUUUCAUGGGAAACAGUUUUCUCAAUUUAGUAUGAUCAUUUUUCCAAGCAAACAGAACUUGAUUUGGCUUGUGGGUUUUAAUUUUCUCGACAACAUUGGUCAUGCACUUCUUUGAAAUCGAUUGUGAUUUUCUCCUGUUGUGCAAGUAAUGAUGGCACAGAAACGUUAUACUAAUAUAUAUAACCUGCAUAUAUGCAUUUUAUUUCCUGACAUUACACUAAUUAAAUUCAUGUAUUUGUUGACAAUGAGUUUAUUAAUUUCAAUUCUCUGAAAUAUGCAUGCAAAAGGAUAAAGGUUUUGUUUCACAACGUUGGUUAUAGUAGUCUCAAGUGUGCAACGGUUUUAAGAUUGGUGUGUAGGAAAAACCUAUCUUCUGAAAGGAUGCGUUUUUUAGUCUGGGUAGAUUUACCUUGCAUUUCGCAUAAGAUACUUAUCUUUGGCACUGAAUAUUAUGUUAAACGUUAUGUGCUACCAUUGGAAUGAUUGCAUUUAUAGUAAUGGCCUUUUAUUCAUGUAUGUUGUUCGAUCUCGGAUAUUGCUUAGAGAUUUAUACAUAUGAUGUUAUUAUAUUUGGCUGUUUGAAUGGUUGUGCUAGUACAUCGGUUGCAUUGCAAUGAAAGGUUGGCUGCCAACCCAAUGGGUAAUCACUGAAUGUUGUCAUUUCCUCAUGAACCGGUAUAAAGAUAGUGUGGCGAUGAGGAUGUGACCCUUUGGGUUUUCGUUGCUUUACAAAUUAUUAUGAUUUAAGAACACAACUUUUCUUGUUUUAAACAAAUGAACAGACAUGACUAUCCAAAGGUUAAAACAUUUGGUCUUUGGAAAGGAAAAGACUAGACAUUAAAACGUGGGAUAUUGGAGAAAAAAAAAAUGUAUUUGAAUUCGACAUAAUGAUGCUUAUUAAGUAAGCAUAUGAAUGGACAUGGCCAUUGGGUCAUGCAUGUUAAUCAUAGUAAGGAAAGAAUCAAAGCCAAGAAGUGAUUUUUCUCAUAAUUUAGUGAGGCAUGAAGGCCAAAAAAGAUAGAUAGAGUCUAUCUUAGUUGUCCCUUAUUUCUUAAAGUGAAAAAUGUGAUCGAUUUAAUGAUAGCAUUAAAAGAAACUACAAUUAUGAAAGAAUUGUGGGGGUUGGUAAAAGUAAUUUGCUAAUUGAACGACAUUCAAAAUGUCAUCUCUUGUAAUGAGUAAUUGUUUAAGGUAUGGCAAAGUUAGAGAUCUUCUUUCAAAUACCUUAAAUGUGGGGGAGUUUACCCAAGUGCUCAGUGUUAGCAAAUUACUUAGUAAUUAAGUCCUAAUUUUGAGGACUUGACAUUUCAAAUAAUGUCAAACAACUACUCUUGUAUGAAAUAUAAUUUCAUAAGAUGGAUUGUGUACACCAUCAAAGGUAGUCAACCUAAUAGUGGAUCCCAUUAUUAAAGGUUAGAUUAGAGAGUAAGUUGAUCAUCGAGGGGAAUGAGGCUAAAGCCAACAUAACUAAUGAAUCAGCCGAGCGGAAACCUAACUUAGUUGAUUGGAGAUCCCAUGGUCUAAGUUCAAUAGGCAAACUGGUUGGGCAUGAUUCAAAGAAGUUAACACACUAUAUAUACCUCAUUCCUAUGAUGGAAGAAGUGUGUUGUCUGCAGACGUUUUAGGUUGUAUAUUUAUACUUAAUGACAGUGAUAUCUUAUAAAUAAGAGGAAUAGAGCAGACUAUUCUUAAUCAGUGGUCACCUAUGUGAGAGUAGAAGUUGGUCGCUUCUAUGAGAAUGAGAUGGCUAAAUUCUCUAAAGCUCUCAUGAAUCCGGGAUUUGUUCAGGACCAAAAUGAACACAACCGUAUGAACCCUAAUAUAUUAGAAUAAGUGAUGUGUGUUACUUAUUGUCUCGGUUUACUACUGCGGUGAACAGUUCAAGAUUUUAUAUUCACUGCGUCACCAAGUAAAUCCGAUAAGUAUUCACUAGGGUAGGUUCAAGUCCAAAAGACACCUCUCCCGAUGCAUCUCUUGUCCGCCUGUACUCUCAAAUUCUUCUUGAUUUUUCAUUCAUGUGGGGGAUUGUUGGAAAUUAUAUAUUAUAGUAUAAACUAUUGUAAUAUAUAAUUUAAUAAUUGAAUGAAAAAUAGUGUUAACCAAUUUCUUAGAAAGGUUAUGUUGUUUAGAUGUAUUCCCUUGUUAAGUGAUGUAUACUUAUAGAUGAAAAGUUACAUCUCUUUAUUAGUUGAAGUUGGGUUCUAUAUAAACUCAUGAAACCAUUAUCAUUAAGAUAUAGAAAAAUUAGAGUUAAUUUUUACUCUUGAGAAAAUAGGGUUUCCCCACUUUGUUUGUCUCAUGCUUCGUGUGUCAAAUUCCGAGUCGUGUCUUGAGAGUACGAAAUAUAUAAAGUUCGCCAAAGUCCGAAGAUUGAAGUGCUUUGACUUCGGAUUAUAGAUUGUUGAAUUCUGGGAGAUGGACGCCUAUCGAACUACAAGCACAAGAGUAGGGGCGAAAUUCUAUCUUUAAGACAUUGCAUUUAUGCAAGCCUCAAUCUCCAAGUUUGUCAGUUUUUCUAUCUUUAUCUCUAGUUGUUUAUAUUAAUCUCAUAUAUAAUUGAUGUUGUGAAUUUCUUUAUGAUUAUUAUCAUUGGAAUUAUAUUGUUAUUUUUCAUAUUUUCUAAUAUUGCUCCAACAGGUAUUGGUGAUCUUGUUCUUCACUCCAGCAGUCUCGUCUUCCGCCGACACGUUCAAUAUACCAUUUGCAUCAAUGUCAAAGCAGACAUUGAUCUGAGGGACACCUCUUGGCGCCGGAGGAAUGAUACAACAGACAAUACACCAAUGGCGCUAGAUUCUGGUUCCAUGUAAGUACACAUCUAGAGGAUCCUCUUUGUAGGAUGCUAAAGAUCCUCAUCGUACAUCGUGCGGCCAAUUUCUGUAGGUAUUGUUUACCUUUAAUUUAAAUAAAAAAAAUUAAAAUGAUUUAUAACCUCAUGAUAUACGAUAAAUUGAUAGGAUGUAAAAAUCCAAAUGGGAUCCAAAUCUUAC
This 4046-nucleotide long non-coding RNA is filed under the name Malus domestica (apple). RNAcentral describes it as "long non-coding RNA (MDOM_LNC017706)". The record is from RNAcentral. Lineage: Eukaryota; Viridiplantae; Streptophyta; Magnoliopsida; Rosales; Rosaceae.